Rattus norvegicus (Norway rat) is the source of this 776-nucleotide non-coding RNA. The record is from RefSeq and is a predicted model, not a curated record. NCBI's taxonomy places the organism in Eukaryota, Metazoa, Chordata, Mammalia, Rodentia, Muridae.
CGCUUGUCCCAGUGAGUGUGAUUGUAGAGUGCUGGUGAUGUGUCCUUUGGGAGUGGACUUUUCCUCUUGAGUCACAGAUGAAGGAAAGAAUUCCAUGAUCCCUGAGAGGAGGAAUUUGAUGGAGACAUUCCUUUAAAGUCUCAGUGUUUCAAGCUCUCUAAUGUCUGGAUGUGGGUCUCUGUAUUGUUUUUCUCCCAUCAACUGAAGAAAGAAGAUUCUCUGAGGAAGGAAUUAUUCUGUAGUCCAACAUCCCAGCCAGAGAAUGGUGGCACACACCACAGCAGGAAGUAUGAGAUCAUUGCUGAAGCUCAGGUUCGCACGCCUUGAUAGGGCACUAGUCUCCAACCAGCUGCCAGAAGACAAUUGGAGCUUCCUUCUGCCCCCUGAUGCAUCUUUCCAAUCUUAAGACCCUGAUGUAGCCUUCGAAGCGACCACGCAAAGCAGAAGUUCCUUGGGAGAACAAGACUAACAGAUCCAAGUUUCAAAUCUCUGUGGGCAAGGAUUUACAUUAAGCAACAGGAAAUCAUUUUAUACUGAGGCACUUUUCUAUUAUAAGGGGCCGUGGGCUGUGGGAGGCAUAUACGUUUGACCUGUCUGGACCAUCUUGUCCAUAUACUGAACAAAAAGGCCAGUGGAAAAGGUCAGUGGAUGUGCAGUCACUUAGGCAGUGCCUGGGACAGCAGACCAAUUCGAUUCAUUUCUCCUUGUGGAGAUCCAUGAAGUCCCAAUUCUUAAUUAUCUAGUCUUUUGUGCAUUAAAAAAUGGCCAAUAAAAUG